AGGAUAAACGCUGGCGGCGUGCCUAACACAUGCAAGUCGAACGCGCUUACUAUCCGCGAGGAGGGUGAGCGAGUGGCGGACGGGUGAGGAACACGUGGGUGACCUACCUUUCAGUGAGGGAUACCGGCGAGAAAUUGCCGACAAGACCGCAUACGCUUCUCUUUUCAAGGGGAGAAGGAAAGCUUUUCGCAAGAGAGGCGCUGGGAGAUGGGCCUGCGGCCGAUUAGCUAGCUGGUGGGGUAAUGGCCUACCAGGGCGACGAUCGGUAGCUGGUCUGAGAGGACGAUCAGCCACACUGGGAUUGAGAACGGCCCAGACUCCUACGGGGGGCAGCAGUGAGGAAUUUUCGGCAAUGGGGCAACCCUGACCGAGCAACGCCGCGUGCAGGACGACGGCCUUCGGGUUGUAAACUGCUUUUCUCUGGGACGAGCAAGGACGGUACCAGAGGAAGAACGCCCGGCUAACUACGUGCCAGCAGCCGCGGU
RNAcentral lists this ribosomal RNA (485 nucleotides) under uncultured bacterium. RNAcentral describes it as "SSU rRNA". It matches the Rfam family "Bacterial small subunit ribosomal RNA", at positions 26 to 521 of the family's 1533-position model. The record is from RNAcentral.